This is a long non-coding RNA of Physcomitrium patens, 1813 nucleotides long. RefSeq lists it as uncharacterized. The record is from RefSeq and is a predicted model, not a curated record. Lineage: Eukaryota; Viridiplantae; Streptophyta; Bryopsida; Funariales; Funariaceae.
UUGUUUUUGGUUUCAUUUUUUUGGUUCUAAAGCUCCAAAAUCUUCGGUGUGCUUCGGCUAGUGCUGCUGCCUUGUGUGUGUAUUGUUUCUUUUAGGCGUCCAAAUUUUGGUUCUGGUUCUGCUUGGCAACUCGAUAAGCUGCAGUAAUGCUGCUCUCGCUUUGGGAGAGCUGUGGGAUUGCUGCGUAAGCUCCAACUGGUUGGACAAUGCUGCUCGAUUAACAAUGAGACCAUUGUUGUCUUUGGAGCGAUGGUGGUUGUUCUCUCUUCCAUAUUAAAACCCGCAGUAGGGCUUUGAUUUCCUCGGGACGUGCACUAAUUGCAAAGCUGGCAAUAAGGGUACAAAAUUUCAACCUUUUUUUUUUUGUUUUUUUUUUUUUUGUGUGUGUUCCGUCUGGGUUCUGCGGUGCAGUGUGCAGGCUUUAUGUAUCCCUCCUUGCGACUGUGUGAGUGUUCUUGGCUGUGGUGCGGCAACAAUGCCUCUUGGUGGUCAUCUAUGAUUGAAGCCCAAAUAUCCAAGCAGUGGAGGUGUGCUGCGGAGGAGUUCGACCAUCUAUUAGGUUUGCGUCUAGUUUUAUUGCCAUUUUAAUUUUUUUUCCUUCGGAGAUCUAGGACCAAAGAGUUGCGGCGGCUGGAAAAAGACAAGUAUUGGUGCCGUGGAGGUCUAGAGAUGUUAUGCAGUGGUUCUAAAUUGUCUUCGUUCUUAGUUAUCGUGUUUAGUCAUUUCCUUCCCUCAUCUUGCUCGAUUAUUGCCGACGUGAUCUUUUGGUGGUUGGUGAAGGACAUGUUGAGUGCCGCGUGUGUUUGUCAACACCACAACCAUCAACUCCCUCUUAGUUUAUUAUUUCCUCUCUCGCGUUAUGGUUACUAUUGUGUGUUUUUUUAUUAGGUGUUUUGCUGCAGUGGGCUACUAGAUUGGAUGUUCUUCUUUUUAUUUGUUGUUUUGUCAAGUUGCGGUAUAGUCGGAUUAUCUGCAUUGACGUCCAAAUAUGGAUGGCCUCUGAAUAUCUUGAAGCUUCAAAAAGCCAACGCUGAUCUAACUAAGUGAAUCCCUGUCACUUCUUCCUUUUUUUUUCUUGGAGAGCUCUAAACAAGCUCACGGUCGAUCCAGAUAUAUGUUGUUCCUUGGCUUCUCUGUAUUUUUCUAAUUGAGAUCUUAGGCAGAGUUCAAAUUCCAAGAAGACUAGGAACAUUAAGACAAAUGUGAAUUCUUUGACAUCUUGAACCUUAAGGAACCAAGGAAGACUGCGCUGUUCAACCGUGGUGCUAAAAUCAGAUUAAGAAGGACAAAUGAUCUUGAGAUCAUCUUCUACAAGGUUCCAAUUGAUUCCUACAAUGCCAAGUCAUCUGAUGGCCUCUUCUCCAAAUUCUGAGUUUGUUACCAGUUGCUUGCUCUCUCUUCCUUUCAACAUUAUGGUUACUGUUCAUCUUCAUAGAUGAUCGUUGGCGACCUGCGGUUGUGUAAGUUGGUCGCAUUCCAAGCCAAGACGUGAAGAUCAGUGUUAUUGACCUUGUGUUGGAAUUAAUGUCAUGGUGCUGAGGCUACCCAAACACCAUAGCAAGGAAACUUCAAACCUCUUAUAAGGCUAGGUGGAUUAGAUUGUUGAGGUUCCAGUAGUAGAGCAUCAAUAGUUAGGAUGAAUUAUCAUAAAGGGAUUCUUUGAAGAGCAGCUGGAAGUGCUUCAAUCCACAAGAUCAAUGCACUAAAGAAAUUGUUGCUAGAGAUUGUUCUUGCUAUGUUCUGACUGGGAAGCAAAAAAAACUCACUCCGGUUCUCUUCAACUGUCAACACUAUUAUUUCAUGUGAGCCUUCC